GGCACCUUUGUCUUGUGAUACCCUAGGAGCCAAGCCUAUUAGAUUUCAUUAAUUAGACUAGGAAGAAAGAUGCAGGUGAAAGCUGUGGAGAAAGAAUGUGUCUGAUUACCUCUGUGCUGUUCAGAGCAGAGAUCAUCCCAUUAUGGAGUUGUACAGCAGCAGAGGAACAGUAGUAGCCUGGGGAAGCUACAACCACCAUGGUGUGAGUGCAAACAGUGCCUGGAAUUUGAAACAGAGUGAAGGGCAAAAAAAGUCUGUGAUAAUUUUUCAAGGCAAAUGAUUGGAACUUUCAAGGCAUUUCAAGGUGGUCAGAUGCUUAGCUCCCACUGAAAAGGGAUGUCUUCAGAUGCAGGUACCAAAAUCAGUUCUCUAAGCAUUCUGAAGGGCAUUGAGGAUAUCACUUUAGAAAAGCCCAGGAUACAGAGCAAGGGUAUCUUAACUGAAGUUCACAGGAGACUUACCCCUAUCUCCAGUUGCUCUAGAGAGGCUCCUGGGACCCUGACUUUAGACAAAGCAGAGCUAUGCUCACCUCCUCCCCACUCCCUGAUCAGCAAAGGGUUAAAGGGUGGGGGAGCACUUUGAUUAAUAGAUGUCGUGUGAACAUGCA
Pezoporus occidentalis (night parrot) is the source of this 607-nucleotide long non-coding RNA. RefSeq lists it as uncharacterized. The record is from RefSeq and is a predicted model, not a curated record. Lineage: Eukaryota; Metazoa; Chordata; Aves; Psittaciformes; Psittacidae. The transcript is spliced from 2 exons.